Cavia porcellus (domestic guinea pig) is the source of this 564-nucleotide long non-coding RNA. RefSeq lists it as uncharacterized. The transcript has 3 exons. The record is from RefSeq and is a predicted model, not a curated record. NCBI's taxonomy places the organism in Eukaryota, Metazoa, Chordata, Mammalia, Rodentia, Caviidae.
CACAGUGCUGGCAGGCAAUGAAGUCACCAGAAGUGGUGGCAGUCUCCUCACUCUACCCUCAGCCCCAGAACAGCCUCACUUCAUGUCCUGGAGGACUUGGUCCUGAACUCUACAGGAGGCAGCAUUCCAGCUGAUUUCCACCACGGGGACAGACCAGAGCUCUAGGUCCAAGCCCAGCUCGGCAGCUGCUGGGCCCUGCGAGCAUGAAUAAUAAUGUGAUAACAAAACAGCAGCGCCACAGUAGUCAUAAAGAUGGCAAACGCUUGCUUUCACUGACUGGGUCCAGGCACCGGCUAGGAACAACACAGGGCUGGAGGUCUGAUCUUGAAGAAACCCAGAACUAUGGACCACACUAGAUGACGUGAGAUGCAAUGCCAAGUGCCUACCUUGGCCUGCCCACAAAAUCAACUGCAGGACCACCUGGCCCCCGGAAAUCCCAGGAGCAUGGUAAUACGCUAAAAAAUUCUGGAGAAUCAGGAGUGGUCGCACACACCUGUAAUUCCCAGCACUCAGGAGGCUAAGGUAGGAAGACUUGAGUUUGAGGUCAUCUUGGACUAUAUAGGA